Molecule: long non-coding RNA, 924 nt
Organism: Neofelis nebulosa (Clouded leopard)
Lineage: Eukaryota; Metazoa; Chordata; Mammalia; Carnivora; Felidae
Exons: 3
Source: RefSeq, a predicted model, not a curated record
CACAUGGUGUCGGCAGAUGCAGAGAGGGGCUGGCAAUUCUCAUACCAGGAAUUCCUCUGCUGUCCUUCCAGCAUCAAUUACAGAUCGCCUCCCUUCCUUCCAGCAGCAGAGAACCUGAGUCUUCGCUCCUGACUCCCAACUUCCCACCCAGGCCUGACAGCAAUUUGUAACCCCCGCUUACACAGGCUCUCUUACUGUCUGCAUUUUUGUUUGGAAAAUGAGCAAUUUGCUGUUGGUCGCUUGGCUCCUCUGUGAAGUCGGCAGAAAGGACGGCUCACCGAGGGGGACAGAUGGUCAGUGAAAGCAAGAGUCAGACCGUCAAGCUCAUCGCCCAAGCCUUGCCCCCGCCUGGAUCCCGGGCCGUUACGGGAGAACUGUCACACAGAAGAUUCCAGAGGUGACUUGAAAUCUUCGGUUCCUUGCAAUGGGUAGCACAGAUGGCUGUUUAAGGAACCACAUGAAAGAGCCACCGUGAAAGGAUGAAAUGCACAGAAUUCAAAUGUGGGAAUACGAUACAACCGAAAAUGUCUUAAGACACCAGGAAAAUAUUACACUGUGAUUGUUAAGUGGAAAGAGCAAAGUUUCAGAAGAAUAAAUGAUGUAAAAUUUAUGUAAAAUUAUUAACAUAAUGUAUGUUUUUUAACAUAAUGUAUGUUUUUAUGUAUGUUUACAUAAAAUUUAUAUAAAAUUAUUAACAUAAUGUAUCACACGGUCAGUACUUAAAAUAUGUAAGUCAUUAUCAUUCUUACCUCUCCUUGGAGCCCAGAUCCAAAACCAUUCCCCUUAUCUGAUUGUCCAGAGAUAAUCCCUCCUUACAGCUCCAUAUAGCCAGCCUGACUUUAGCAUGUAUGACUAUAUACCUUGGAUUAUUUUCAUUUAUGGUAUGUUUUAAAUGUCACCUGAUAAUAAAUAUUCCUCCUUCUC